GUGCUCGCUUCGGCAGCACAUAUACUAGAAUUGGAGCGAUACAGAGAAGAUUGGCAUGGCCCCUGCGCAAGGAUGACACGCAGAUUCGUGAAGCGUUACAUAUUUUU
RNAcentral lists this small nuclear RNA (107 nucleotides) under Cervus hanglu yarkandensis (Yarkand deer). Lineage: Eukaryota; Metazoa; Chordata; Mammalia; Artiodactyla; Cervidae. The record is from RNAcentral.